This 519-nucleotide ribosomal RNA is filed under the name uncultured eukaryote. RNAcentral describes it as "SSU rRNA". It matches the Rfam family "Eukaryotic small subunit ribosomal RNA", at positions 1161 to 1699 of the family's 1831-position model. The record is from RNAcentral.
AGAGCACCACCAGGAGUGGAGCCUGCGGCUUAAUUUGACUCAACACGGGAAAACUCACCCGGCCCGGACACUGGAAGGAUUGACAGAUUGAGAGCUCUUUCUUGAUUCAGUGGGUGGUGGUGCAUGGCCGUUCUUAGUUGGUGGAGUGAUUUGUCUGGUUAAUUCCGAUAACGAACGAGACUCUAGCCUACUAAAUAGAUCGUCGGCUUACAAACGCCGGCGAGACUUCUUAGAGGGACAGGCGGUGAUUCAACCGCACGAAACAGAGCAAUAACAGGUCUGUGAUGCCCUUAGAUGUCCGGGGCCGCACGCGCGCUACACUGAAGUGAUCAGCGUGCUUUUUCAACCUACUCUGUCAAGAGUGGGGAACCCAAUGAACCUUCUUCGUGAUUGGGAUAGGGGAUUGUAAUUAUUCCCCUUGAACGAGGAAUUCCCAGUAAGCGCGAGUCAUAAGCUCGCGUUGAUUACGUCCCUGCCCUUUGUACACACCGCCCGUCGCUACUACCGAUUGAAUGUUUU